GUGAAUCAUCGAAUCUUUGAACGCAUAUUGCACUCUCUGGUAUUCCGGAGAGUAUGCCUGUUUGAGGGUAAUUAAAAAGAAUCUUUAUCAAUUUUUUUGGCCAAAGGAAAUGAGUUCUCCGCGUUUAUAGCGGUAGCUGGAAAUAAAUUGUCAAGACUCAUUUUAGUCGUUAUGUGUAAUGAUAUUAUUUCUCGAUAUCUUCAUUAUGUGACUAUCAUGUUUUGACGCAUACGAAUUUGGUCUGUUUGCGAUCAAUACAAAUAUUUUUAACAUUACCUCAGAUCGGGUAG
This 290-nucleotide unclassified non-coding RNA is filed under the name Ambisporaceae sp. RNAcentral describes it as "partial contains 5.8S ribosomal RNA and internal transcribed spacer 2". The stretch from base 1 to 71 matches the Rfam family "5.8S ribosomal RNA", at positions 84 to 154 of the family's 154-position model. The record is from RNAcentral. Lineage: Eukaryota; Fungi; Glomeromycota; Glomeromycetes; Archaeosporales; Ambisporaceae.